Molecule: ribosomal RNA, 551 nt
Filed under: Ramlibacter tataouinensis
Lineage: Bacteria; Pseudomonadati; Pseudomonadota; Betaproteobacteria; Burkholderiales; Comamonadaceae
Description: bacterial SSU rRNA
Rfam family: Bacterial small subunit ribosomal RNA
Source: RNAcentral
UUCCUACGGAGGCAGCAGUGGGGAAUUUUGGACAAUGGGCGCAAGCCUGAUCCAGCCAUUCCGCGUGCAGGAUGAAGGCCCUCGGGUUGUAAACUGCUUUUGUACGGAACGAAAAGCGCUGGGUUAAUACCUCGGCGUCAUGACGGUACCGUAAGAAUAAGCACCGGCUAACUACGUGCCAGCAGCCGCGGUAAUACGUAGGGUGCAAGCGUUAAUCGGAAUUACUGGGCGUAAAGCGUGCGCAGGCGGUGAUGUAAGACAGGUGUGAAAUCCCCGGGCUCAACCUGGGAACUGCAUUUGUGACUGCAUCGCUGGAGUGCGGCAGAGGGGGAUGGAAUUCCGCGUGUAGCAGUGAAAUGCGUAGAUAUGCGGAGGAACACCGAUGGCGAAGGCAAUCCCCCUGGCCCUGCACUGACGCUCAUGCACGAAAGCGUGGGGAGCAAACAGGAUUAGAUACCCUGGUAGUCCACGCCCUAAACGAUGUCAACUGGUUGUUGGUCCUUCCACUGGAUCAGUAACGAAGCUAACGCGUGAAGUUGACCGCUGGGAGU